UACCAGCACCCCGAGUGGUCGGGACGUUUUAUUGGGCCUAAAGCAUCCGUAGCCGGUUCUACAAGUCUUCCGUUAAAUCCACCUGCUUAACAGAUGGGCUGCGGAAGAUACUAUGGAGCUAGGAGGCGGGAGAGGCAAGCGGUACUCGAUGGGUAGGGGUAAAAUCCGUUGAUCCAUUGAAGACCACCAGUGGCGAAGGCGGCUUGCCAGAACGCGCUCGACAGUGAGGGAUGAAAGCUGGGGGAGCAAACCGGG
Molecule: ribosomal RNA, 255 nt
Filed under: uncultured bacterium
Lineage: Bacteria
Description: partial 16S ribosomal RNA
Rfam family: Archaeal small subunit ribosomal RNA
Source: RNAcentral